Molecule: ribosomal RNA, 406 nt
Filed under: uncultured bacterium
Lineage: Bacteria
Description: partial 16S ribosomal RNA
Rfam family: Bacterial small subunit ribosomal RNA
Source: RNAcentral
AUUGAACGCUGGCGGCAGGCCUAACACAUGCAAGUCGAGCGAGCGGCGGACGGGUGAGUAAUGUCUGGGACUCUGCCCGAUGGAGGGGGAUAACUACUGGAAACAGUCGCUAAUACCGCAUACCAUCGGAUGUGCCCAUAUGGGAUUAGCUAGUAGGUGGGGUAACGGCUCACCUAGGCGACGAUCCCUAGCUGGUCUGAGAGGAUGAGCAGCCACACUGGAACUGAGACACGGUCCAGACGCCUACGGUAGGCAGCAGGGGGGAAUAUUGCACAAUGGGCGCAAGCCUGAUGCAGCCAUGCCGCGGGUAUGAAGAAGGCCUUAGGGUUGUAAAGUACUUUCAGCGAGGAGGCGUUACUCGCAGAAGAAGCACCGGCUAACUCCGUGCCAGCAGCCGCGGUAAUUC